This is a long non-coding RNA of Equus caballus (horse), 3459 nucleotides long. Lineage: Eukaryota; Metazoa; Chordata; Mammalia; Perissodactyla; Equidae. The record is from Ensembl.
UUUAAACACUUAUUUUUUUCAUUUGAUCUAUAUUUAAAAAUGUACUCAGAGAGUUCUGAAGAGGAAUAAUGAUUACAAUAGCAGCUUUCAGAUGCUUAUUUGGAAAUCGUGUAAUAGAGAAUUAAAUAUGUUUCCAGUAGGUAUCCAGUAUUUAAGACAACAAAAUUAAGGUAACUUCUCAUAUUUAAGAACAUAACAUAACAAGACUUGUUAAGUUUAAACUUCAUCCACUGUCCAGGAAUUGUAAACAAAAGAAAAUUUGUGGAAGGCCCCUGACAUUGGCCUUCACAAUACUGUUAGGGUUGUGCUCUCGACCAGAAGUUGGCAAACUUUUUCUGUAAAGUGACAGGUAGUAAAUAUUGUUGAUUUUGUGGAUCAUAAAUGUCUGUUGCAACUGCUCAACUCUGCCAUUUUAGCACAAAAGCAACGAUAGACUAUACCUAAACAAACGGACAUGGCUGUGUUUCAAUCAAUAAUACUUUAUUUACAAAAACAGAUGGGGAGCUGGAUUUGCUUCAUGGUCCGUAGCUUGCCAACCUCUGCUCUUGAUUGUCCUCAUAGCUCAGUUUUCUCCCGUUAGUCUACAGAAUUAACAAGUCAUUAUUCUUGUACUGUAUUUUGCAGAAUUAUGAGAGAAAAAUUCACCUAAAUUGCUUUGACCAGUAGAAGAUAAGACACAACUGUAUGUCCAGGUCCUUUUACUCAAGAAUCUAAAUCCUCUUUUGAGAAAAAUAGAUAUCAAAAUUCCUUAAAAAUAUGUAUUUGAGAGUAAGUAUUGCAUGUAUGGAAGUGUCUCAAUAUUGAGGACCAACUAUGAUGCCAGGAAAAAGGGAAUAAAGUGUAUACCUGAUACUCCAAAGAUCUCAUAAAAUCACAAAAGCCCAGGAUUCUAGGCUGUAAAUCUACUCUGUAAUUUUAUCCUUUACCUCAGGGCAGUAAGAUCUAGGACAUAGAAACUACUCACAUGUUAAUUCCAGGGCGAGGUGAUAACUGGGCUGGUGCUUUCUUCUUGUUACAGGAUGACGAAAACCUUCAGACAUUUGUUGUAGGAUGAACUGAAACUUGCUGCUCUUUUGUGAUGGAAACUCACUACCAAGCUCAUUAAUGAUUGAAUACAUUGGAGAUGUCCCUUAUGUCAGGGAUAUUUAAUGCAUGAAUUCAGUGUGCAUUUCACACUCAAUUCAUAAAGGAAAAUUAAACAAAUAAAUGAAAAGAAUAAAAUGUAAACAAACUGAAAGUCCUAACCCUUUGCCCCAGUCCCAGAAACUGAGAUGUUGGAAAAAUACCAAUGAACAGGCCUUAAAAUAUGGUGACUUGGACAGAAGAAAUAAAUAAUUUUCUCUCACAUUAAAUUCCAUUGUUUGGUAUUAAGCAAAAGGCAUUUGUUUGCCAAUUUAAAGAUCAUUUUAAUGGAGAUUUUUCUGUUUUAACCCCUUUCCAGUUCUAUACCCUAAAGAGAAGAAAUCCAGGAACUUCAAUUAAUUUAAAUGGUCUUGCCUUUAAUCCUUAUUUCAACCUUCAAUUUUAACCCUGGGUUUGCAGCUGAGAGUUUGGAGCAAACUCCACCAUCACGACCUUUGUUGGAAGUACAAGGAUUGCAUAAGCUCCUGGGAUGCUAAAGGGAAUGAGACCAAUCUUUUUGUAAAAAUUAUAGCUUUCUAGUAUAUCUUUUUACUACUAUUUAUUAAAUUCUAUGCACUUAUGGACACUUUUUAUACACUAUUGUUAAUCUAACUAAUUCUAGAAAGUAUAAAUUAUCUCUUUUCCAUAAAUGCAAGGCUCAGAAAGGUCACUUGACUGGCACUGCGCCACAUAGGCUGCAUUUGGCAGGUCUGGGCUUCAAGCUGAGAUCUCUCCAGUAGGAAUGCCUUUCUCAGAGGUACUCAUUGUCCUUCUUCACCACUAUGCAAAUGCAGGACAUGUACAACAUAUUAUUUAGGGAGCAUGGUGAAAUCCCAACUACCACCUGGUUGAUGUUCCCACCAUUAGAAUCUCUGGUUCAGGUUAUGACUUCUCCCUGUGGGGCUGGCCAAAGCCAUCAGAAAGCCUUUAUGAAGAUACAUCUAUGUGCAUCAGAGUCCUUCCAGACUCUCCCACUAGCAUGAGAUGGUCAGCCAGAUUACAUGACAUUCAAGGGGAUGAAAGGGCAUAGGAGGGCAGUUGGGACACGUAUCUGUAGAGCAGGAAGGAGGGAGAUUCAGCAGCUUCAGGUAGAGUGAGCUGGGAGAACACCCAAGAGCUGGAAAGUCCAGGACGAUGUUUUCCCAUCUGAAGUUUUGAGAUCUUCUCAAGCAGGGUCACUUGGAGUAUUUUUUUAAAUCAAAUCUCUGAGUAUUGUCCCUCAAUACUCUGAGUUCAAUAAGUUUUGUUGGGGUCCAGGAAUCUCUGUAAUCACCCUUCAAGUUUAAGAACCACUGGUAGGGAGUAGUUGGGCAAGUCUGGGAGUGUCUGAAGAAGGAGCUAAUUCCCAGAAAGAGGAACUCAAGGGACGUUUCUAAAAACUGAUGCUAAAUAGAAUGAAGACCUCUGAGAACUGCUUCUUCUAAAGAUUGUUACAGGACCAGCGUGGGAUACUCAAACACAUCCUUGUAUUUGUUUUAUUUUUCCAUGUAUAUUUAACAUCCAUGGGCAAUAAUAUUGAUUUUCUCAAACUAAGGGCCCCUCUUUCAUUAUUUAAUGAUUACAGCAUGAAAUCACACAAAUAGAGAAGAUAGAAAAUGCAAAUCAAUAUGAAUUAGCCAAAUUGCAUCAUUUAACCAGGUAGCAUUUCCAUGGAUGUAAACAAAUAUAUUAUGGAUAAUGAGUUCAAGGAAUUGGUAUAAAAUUAAAUUUAAAGUCUUAAUUUAAACGAAGCAUGUUCUCUACUUUAUACCAGAUCAAUACACACGGCAUUUGAAACUUCAUAAAAUAUGAUACAGUACAUUGCUUCCUCUACCCACUAUUUACUAUUUUUAUAAGUGUAGAAUAUUUUUGGAUUAUAAAUGUAACUAAAUAGAGCAAAACUAUAUGAAUUAAAAUCAUGAAUUUUUUUUAUAGAAUUAUAGGCUUGCUGCAGAACUUGAAGGCAUUACUAGUAUAAUAUCAGAGAAAUGUAUUAGCCUCCAGGGGAUACAUUCUUAUUAUCAGUUAUGGAUUUUGUGGGCUGUAAGUUAGAAAGAGAUGUGCUAUGAUAUUUUUCUUUGGAAACAAGGAAGGAAACUACUGAAAAUUUUAAACAAACAAUGUUGACUUCAAAUAUAAGGUGUUUGAGUUUGUACACAGCUUGCUGCCUAGUUAAAGGCAAGAUCUACAUUGCAUGCACAAUUGCGUGCAAAUUGGACUUAAUUCACUGCAUGCUUUGCCUCUUCAAUUAAAUGAGAAGAUGAUUUUUACUUUAGAGGAGUAAAAAUUCAAUGUGUUAAAGUGUUCCACCGCUAAAUUUUCCCCAAAUAGUUUGUGUACCCAAAUGUUUAUUUGAAA